This is a long non-coding RNA of Elgaria multicarinata webbii, 172 nucleotides long. RefSeq lists it as uncharacterized. NCBI's taxonomy places the organism in Eukaryota, Metazoa, Chordata, Lepidosauria, Squamata, Anguidae. The record is from RefSeq and is a predicted model, not a curated record. The transcript is spliced from 3 exons.
GUAGGACACAUGCUCACUCUUGGGCCCUUUCUACACCUAAGGGUUAUCCCAGGAAAAUAGAGGGAUCGUCCCUGCCUGCUCCCGGGAUCCCCUGUGGCCCUUUCUACACCUAAGGAUUAUCCCAGGAAAAUAGAGGGAUCGUCCCUGCCUGCUCCCGGGAUCCCCUGUAUAU